GACGAACGCUGGCGGCGUGCUUAACACAUGCGAGUCGAACGGUGAAGGGACCAGCUUGCUGGUUCUGGAUGAGUGGCGAACGGGUGAGUAACACGUGAGUAACCUGCCCCCUUCUUCUGGAUAACCGCAUGAAAGUGUGGCUAAUACGGGAUAUUCUGGGUCUGUCGCAUGGCGGGCCCGGGAAAGAUAUUGCUUCGGUGGGGGAUGGGCUCGCGGCCUAUCAGCUUGUUGGUGGGGUGAUGGCCUACCAAGGCGGUGACGGGUAGCCGGCCUGAGAGGGUGGACGGUCACACUGGGACUGAGACACGGCCCAGACUCCUACGGGAGGCAGCAGUGGGGAAUAUUGCACAAUGGGCGCAAGCCUGAUGCAGCGACGCCGCGUGAGGGAUGGAGGCCUUCGGGUUGUAAACCUCUUUCGCCAGUGAAGCAGGCCUGCUCCUUGUGGGUGGGUUGACGGUAGCUGGAUAAGAAGCGCCGGCUAACUACGUG
Molecule: ribosomal RNA, 489 nt
Filed under: uncultured bacterium
Lineage: Bacteria
Description: partial 16S ribosomal RNA
Rfam family: Bacterial small subunit ribosomal RNA
Source: RNAcentral